RNAcentral lists this ribosomal RNA (351 nucleotides) under Triticum aestivum (bread wheat). RNAcentral describes it as "partial small subunit ribosomal RNA". The record is from RNAcentral. Lineage: Eukaryota; Viridiplantae; Streptophyta; Magnoliopsida; Poales; Poaceae.
AUGAGUACCUUGUCUUGGAACUGCCGGGGGCUUGGGAACCCUUAGACAGUUCGAGAGCUUCUCAAACUUGUGAAGCAAGAAGGGCCCGCCCUGCUAUUUAUCAUGGGUGCGAAAAUCAGGGGCAAGAGGGUUGAGGAUAUGAAGAACGCACUUGGUUUUUCAGGCUGUUUUGCCGUUGAUAGCGACGGGCUUAGUGGAGGUAUUGGCCUCUUUUGGUCAAGUGACAUCAAUGUAACUCUGGAAAAUUAUAGUGCUUCCCAUAUUGAUGUAACUGUGAGACAAGAAAAUAAAACUUGGCAUUUCACGGGCUUCUAUGGUGAGCCACAGGUGAAAAAUAGACACCAUAGUUAG